Molecule: ribosomal RNA, 253 nt
Filed under: uncultured bacterium
Lineage: Bacteria
Description: partial 16S ribosomal RNA
Rfam family: Bacterial small subunit ribosomal RNA
Source: RNAcentral
UCCAGAGGGUGCGAUCGUUAAUCGGAAUUACUGGGCGUAAAGCGCACGUAGGCGGCUUGGUAUGUCGGGUGUGAAAUCCCCGGGCUCAACCUGGGAACUGCAUCCGAAACUGCCUUGCUAGAGUAUGGGAGAGGGAAGUGGAAUUUCCGGUGUAGCAGUGAAAUGCGUAGAUAUCGGAAGGAACACCAGUGGCGAAGGCGACUUCCUGGACCAAUACUGACGCUCAGGUGCGAAAGCGUGGGGAGCAAACAGG